Molecule: transfer RNA, 67 nt
Filed under: Tipula flavolineata
Lineage: Eukaryota; Metazoa; Arthropoda; Insecta; Diptera; Tipulidae
Description: tRNA-Thr
Rfam family: tRNA
About the family: Transfer RNA (tRNA) molecules are approximately 80 nucleotides in length. Their secondary structure includes four short double-helical elements and three loops (D, anti-codon, and T loops). Further hydrogen bonds mediate the characteristic L-shaped molecular structure. tRNAs have two regions of fundamental functional importance: the anti-codon, which is responsible for specific mRNA codon recognition, and the 3' end, to which the tRNAs corresponding amino acid is attached (by aminoacyl-tRNA synthetases). tRNAs cope with the degeneracy of the genetic code in two manners: having more than one tRNA (with a specific anti-codon) for a particular amino acid; and 'wobble' base-pairing, i.e. permitting non-standard base-pairing at the 3rd anti-codon position.
Source: RNAcentral
GUUUUAAUAGUUUAAUAAAAAAACCCUGGUCUUGUAAAUCAAAAAUAAGAACACUUCUUUUAAAACA